UAAAACCUUCACAAAAGAGUCCCUUUUGAUUUCUAUCUUGCUUUUCAUAGUUUUAAUGAUUCCUGGUCAACUGAGGUCUGUAACUAUUAGAAAAUGCCUGAAAUUAAUGCUUAAACCCACCAAAGUUCCCACCAGAGAAGCUGACCCAGCAGUAGUGACCAUGUAGACCCUGGAGCUAAAAGAUGAACUGCUGGAGUGCUUGAAGGGGCCAGUCCUGUGGAUCCCGAACUACAGGAUCUCCAUGAUUCAGGGUAACAACAGGGUAUCUGA
Long non-coding RNA from Mus musculus (house mouse), 270 nucleotides. RefSeq annotates it as predicted gene, 52355. NCBI's taxonomy places the organism in Eukaryota, Metazoa, Chordata, Mammalia, Rodentia, Muridae. The transcript has 3 exons. The record is from RefSeq and is a predicted model, not a curated record.